This 7772-nucleotide long non-coding RNA is filed under the name Vitis vinifera (wine grape). Its description in RNAcentral is "long non-coding RNA (VVIN_LNC000500)". Lineage: Eukaryota; Viridiplantae; Streptophyta; Magnoliopsida; Vitales; Vitaceae. The record is from RNAcentral.
CGAAUUUUGUGGGCAAGUUGGUCAAUCUCAAUUUUUGGACUUACCUCACUUUCUUGAACUGGAUGCCUCAGGCUCUGAGGAUGAGUGAAGCUGAGAUCAUUCAGCAUGCCGGUCUUGACUCUGCUGUUUUCCUCAGAAUUUACACUCUCGGGUAUCCUUUUUCUUCUCUUCCCAAAUUUUGUUGUUCCGGACAAAUUGAAUUAUGGGGAAUUCGUGUUUUCCUUAUUUUUUUUCUUCUCUCAGCGUUUCUGCUUCUGGGCCAUGUUUGUUCUCUUUGGAAUUUUGUGCUUCUUUUGGACUUGCAUCCCGGGAGUUCAUUUUCCUUAUCUUUCUUAUUUCUCAGUGUUUCUCCUACUGGGUGUUGUUUUCUCCUUUGAAGUUUUGUGUUUUCUUGAGAAUUUUGCAUUGUGGGGAAUUUGUUUAUUUAUCUUUCUUAUUUUUCUCAGUAUCCUGCUUAUGGGUGGCAUUUGUUCUCUUUGCAAGUUUGUGAUUUCCUGAGAGCUGGGGAAUUCAUUUUCCCGCUCCCCCUUAUUUUAUCAGUGUUUCUGCUUCUGGGUGUUCUUUGUGUUCCUCGGAAGGUUGUGUUUUUCCUUAGAAUUUUCAGUCUAGGGAUUUCGGUUUUUGGGUAUCUUUCUUAUUUUUCAGUGUUUUAGGUUCUGGUUGUCCUUUAUGUUCUUUUUCCUAGGAUUUUAUGUUUUCCAGAGAAUUUGAAUUAUGGGGAAUUCCUUUUCCUUGUCUUCUUUAUUUUCCCAAUGUUUCUUCCUCCCUCCGAGUAGUGUGUUUGUCUUUCUGGAAGUUUGCAGUUACACUCUGAAAUUUAUUUCAUCCUUUUUCCUUUGGGCUUUGGUCGGUAGAGUUAGUUUGUUUAUGGCUCCACAAAGCGCAUCGUUUUCAAAACGGUUUUGACCUGUGAAAUCGAUGAAAUUGAAUACCAGGCCGUUUUCAUAUUUUUGAACGUUUUUGGUUCAAAAUUCUCGUGAAAACGGAUUGAUCUCUACCAAAAUGUUGAAAAUGAUAUUUCAAAACGCCCUGCCAAUUCUGUUUUUCUUGUCGGUGUUUUAUUUUUUAAUUCUCUUGUUGGUUUAUUUCCAGAAAAACGGAAAUAACAUCAAAACCCAUGGAUGUUAUAGCGUGCUUUCUUCUAUCUUUUCUUAUUUGCUCAGUAAUUUCUACUCUUGCUGUUUCUUUUCUUUUCUUUUCUUUUUUUUUUUUCAGAAAAAUCUAGGCUCCCCUGCUUAACUGGCAUUAAAGUUUGAGGAUAUGCUGUUAUAUUUUAUAGUUUUUUUUUGUUUUGGUGUAAAGUAUUUUUGGGCCUCUCUUUCUUAUGCUGCAAAUAGAUUGGGUAAAGGUAGGAAAGAGCAUUCAUGAACAGUGGGUCAUCUCUCUCUUUCUCUCUCAUCUUUUUUAUUUUUUUACUUUAUUGUGUUGAAAAAUGACCAAUUUCUUAGCUGUGAUUUUGACAUUUAUAUUUGAUGUAUUUUGAAGCUUCAUGGUCUAUGGAUAAUCUUAUCACCAACCAGUUUUUGGUUUGUUUUUUGCCAGAUUAAAAAUUUUCUUACCAGUGACUGUUCUGGCGCUCCUUAUUCUUGUUCCAGUCAAUGUAUCUAGUGGAACAUUAUUUUUUCUGAGGAAAGAACUGGUUGUGAGCGAUAUUGAUAAGCUUUCAAUAUCUAAUGUCCGUCCUGAAUCAACAAGGUAACUUUGCUUUUCUCUUAGACAAGGAGAUAUAUUUUCAAAAUGUGAAGAAACAUAUUUAUAGCUUCCUGCCAUAUAUGUGAUUGACUUUGCUGUUGUUUCCCUUUGGUCAGACAUAAAUCACUGUGUUAAUGAAAUAUAAAAACAUUUCUGGAUGAAAUAAGAUUAAAGUGAAACUACAGAAAUGCAUAUUGGAGGAUUUAGAUGUAGUUUGUUAGCAAAUCUUUGAGAUUGGUUGACAAUGUGCUUUCCCAACUGAAUUAAAGAGGUUUGAUCUAUUCUCAUUGGAUGAACAUAAGUUUUGAAGCACAUGACUUAUCUCAAGAGAACUUGGGGCAAAUUUUUAAUGGUGCAGACAAUAAUAAAUUAGGAGAGGAUGCAAGAUUUUAAUUAGAAUGUUUCUUAAAGAUGCUCCAAGUGGGCAAAGAUAAGAAACCCUUGUCUAAAGUAGCUGUUGAUGAUGCAAAUGGGCCAUGAAAAGUGGCCUAAAAAGCCAAGCACUUGUAAGAUGACGUCUCUCAGUUGAGAGAGUGGCACUAUAUGGCAGAGAAAAAGAGAGAAAAGUAGUGAAGGAAGGCCAAGUGUGCAAAUUCUAGACCUUGGUAUGCACCACCUUAGCAUGUUUGUGCCAACACAUGAAAGAAGAGGGUAACAUGAUUCAUCAAGCUUGUCCAAUCCAGCUCAUAAUGCCACCCCCACUGUAGAUGAUUCAAGGCUUAGGAACCUUCUCCCUUGGUUGUGCUCCAAUUCUUAGGUUGUACAACUUAUCACUUACAUCAUAAAUGCAUGUUGUCAGGGCUAUUGUAACCUUGAAAGCUCCCUUAAUUUGCCCUAUUCUCCUUCUUGAGCUGCAUUCCUUCUGUCCAUGUCAUUGCUAAGGUAACAAAGAGGGCAUAUGUUGGAUUUUGUUGAUUUAUUAGACUCUAGCGCAUUCCUUUAGUUUUCCCCAUUAUGUUAGACACUGUAUAGGAGAGAUAUCUAUGUCCAUGUUGGAUUUUGUAGAUUGGUUGGGUUCAAAGUAGGCGUGGGUAGGAUCUACACUUUUCUUUUAUCUUGUUUGCUUGGCACCCUAUGUAUAUGCUCCUUGUAUACUCUGGUUUGUCCUUGUUGUAGCUCCUUUUGUAUCUCCUCUUUUUAUAUAUUUUGAAUAUAUCUUAUGCUUAUUAGGAAACAAAAGUGCCUCGCAUAUGAUGAAACUGAAAGAAAAGUACAAAAGUUUCAGUACUGUUAGUGCUGACUGCUUGAAGCACUGAUUUUAUAGGUCCAAAAACCCUUAGGUUAAUUACUGAUUUCACUUAAUAGUUUGGUAUUGCUUUCCAGAUUUACCAUUUCACUCUUGUGGUGACAUUCUUUAGACUUGCAGUGAUAUUAUCUCCAUAGAUAUCAGUAACUACAUAUCUUUAUGUACAAACCUUUCUAUAAAGCUAUGAUAAGAUUCAGCAACUUGCACGGUAAACAUUAUAGUAGCGAAUUUCUGCGCUUACUAAGAGCAAUUCUUUAGUUGUAAGUUCUCAAGCUAAUUUCACUUGGAAAUCUCAAGUUUUUCCCAAAGAGAGCCUUCAGAUGGUUAGGGGCUAAUAAAAGAGUGAAUAUUUAUCUGUUACAGAUAAAGAGACCAUUUAAAGCUUUUCAACACUAAGUAUUCUGUUCUUUACUUAAAUAGCAACAAGCCAGCCAGUGGUUCAUCUCUUUCUUCAUUGUACUAUGGCUGGGAGUUUAUGAAAAUGUGCUAUUUCAGGAGUGGGGUUGCUUACAUACCCCUAGAGGUGUUCUGAGAUGAUAUUCGUUCUUCAUGUAUCCCUUAUUUCUGUUUAUAAUUUAAUGGAAUGCUUGUUUACUAUCAAAAUAAAAAUGUUAUAUCUUGUUUAAUUUUUUGAAAUUCAUUUCUUUACCUGUUUGACAACUAAGAAAUAAAGCAGCAAUUUUUUAGGGGCUCCUAGAAGGGAAUGAGGAGUUCUUAUGGGCUCAAGGAAUUUUGACAGGUUAUGCCAACCUAAGAUUUGUUUUGAAACAGUUCAUUUCAAGGAUGUAAUAUCAUAUCCAAGAUCUGAGUGUGGCUUUGAGAGAGCUGCAGUUCUUUGCUUGAGAUUGAAGCUGCAUUGUUUUAUAUCUUUUUGAAUAAUUGACUUAUUAGAUUUAUGGUUGUAUUGUGUGCAACAUUGAGGACAUCCAGCUCAUUAUGGCCGGAAAAUUACUUUCUGUAGAGGGCAAGAUAGAAGUCAAUUAAUUUUGGAUGUCACAGGAUAUGCAUUUGCUUGCUUCAUAGUAGCAGGACCAUGGGCAAAAGUUAUUUCAAUUAAUGACUAUUUUCAAUUGCUAGCUCAAUGCCAUUUUCAGCUAUCAGCAAAAAGAUGGCUCAAAUACUGUGCAAUAUUGGCUGUUAUUGACUUCAUUCUGUGUCAAACAUAAGUUUAAUAUGUGGUCAAUAAAUAGAAAAUUUUCUACUGUUAUAGAUAUCAUUUUUUUUCCCUGAUAGGAAAUGAAUUUAGGUGUCAUUCUUAUAGAUGAUGCUACUUUGGUCAGAAUUCAGAAUUUACUGUGGGAUGAUAUUGCUCUAUUGCCAAUUGUAAUUAUAAAAUGUUUAAUUUACUUUUCUUCUCUCUCACCCACUUUUAUCUCUCUUUUUCUGAAUGAAAAAGUUAUCCUGUAGAUAUUGUAUGCUUGUCCUGUGGAAAAAUUGUAAAUAUUUGAAUUUUCAGGUUUUUUUUCCACAUAGGGAUGGAGUAUCUGUUCACGAUGUGGAUUUGUUACAUGCUCUACAAGGAAUAUCAUAAUGUAGCAUUAAUGAGGUUGCAUUUCUUGGCUUCACAGCACAGGCGUGUGGAACAGUUCACUGUGAGUUGAAUGAUGUUUGCAUUACGGUACUUUGAACUUUGGUUAUCUGCAAUAAUCUUAUAAAAAAUUUAUAUCGUGGCAUCUGCUAAGAGAAUACAGUGAUGUGAUUAUUCUUUGUUCCAGUCUUCAAAUAUUAACUACUCAGUCAAGUGGAGUUGAGGGUCAUGAAGUUUCAUAAUUAUUACUUAUGUUACAUGAUCUUAUUUUCUAUUUCCUUUCCAUUCUUUCAGAGAAAUUUUGGUAUGCUGUUGGUUGUCUGUUUAUCAAUUAGAAUGGAUUCUUUUUGUCCUUAGAUAAAGAUUGUAUAUGCAGGGAAAAUAGGAAGGUGAGCAAGCAGUAAAGAAAAGGACCAGAACUGGAAAAAUCUAGCCUGGAAUAUCAGGUUCUAAACCACUUCCAUUAUGAGUCUGGGAAUGCAUAAAGAAGUUGAAGAUUUGCAUAUACAGAGAUAAAAAUUCAAAACCUACCUAGAGGAAGAAAAAAGAGCAUCCUCUUCACCCUUUUCCACGAGUCUCCAGAUCAUCGAAAAUCAUGUUGACUUUCCGAACACUGGGCACAGAGAAGUAAUAUUACCUCCAAAACAUUUGCACUUCUUUAUCUGGGCCUUGGAAUACCUAGAAGUAAAAAACUUUCUGAACAAAAGAAGGAAUAUAUAUCAUCCAACACUUGCAAAUGAAAGCUCUCAAACAGCAUCUGCAAAUUGAUUGUGGAUGCUCAAUGGAAUUUGAACUAAUUAGAAUGCUCAGACAUGGGGCAACAUAUUUUCCAAAAAUAAGAUGAUCAAUUACUAAUACCCAAGGCAACUUGCAAUUGAUUCAGUUCUAAUUAUAUUGUCAAAAUGGGCACAGUAUUGGUCAUGGAAGGGCAUGAUUGUGGUUUUGGGGACAUACAUGGACAUUUUAUUCUCUUGCAAAGACAUUCAUAAAACUCUCUAAAUGGAGAAUGCUCACAUAUGCUUGGAGAAUGUUCUCUGAUGUCAAACAUUUCUUAAGGUUCUGUUCAUCUUUUAGGUAAGUGAAGUCUUGGUAAGGGAGUGUUUAAUGUUAGAUGCUGUCUGUAUCACCAGGAUUAACUGCCAAAAGCUCUUUCUGACUGCUAAAGUGCUUUGGAUUGUGUCUACUUACAAGCUAAUCAUGUUGAUUCAGAAUAUGCACCUUUAUCAAGGAGUAAUUUAAUCCAAGUUGAAGGCACAAAGUUACAAGAAGUAUGCCAAAAAAAGACAUGGUUUGGCAUGGAGAAAAGGCAUGAUUGAGGCCUCUAAUAUACAAUAUGGCUCUAGAUAGGACCGGAUGGUAAAAAGGAUUCAUGUAGCCAACUCCCUCAGGGCAAAAAAAUGCUGCCUUUGCAUAAACUCUCCUCCUAUGUCAGAGAAAUUUGAAAAAAUGUUAAAGAAAAAUUCCAAUCUAAUAAUUAAGUAAAUGCAAUAUAGUAAACAAACUAAUAUAAUGCAAAAGUCUUACUUUCUUGCUGAAAUAUUAUUUCUUAGUGAGAAAAUGGUGAUCAGAUAAGAGGCCUAGGGAAACACUUUUAGACAUGUAUUUUGUGUGUGUGUGUUUUUUAUAGGUAAAAAUAUAUAUUUAUAAAUUAGUAAUAGGAAAAAGUACACCAAAGUACACUGGCAUAUACAAGGAGAACCUAAAGGAAGACGUCAAAAAACCUCCCUGACUCUCAACAAGACCCCACUCAAUCUACAAAAUCAAACAAAGGUAUUGAGCCUUCACUCAAGUACAUGCUAACCCAAGCUGAAAGAUUAUAAAGGAACAAAAGUUUUAUCUUCUAAUCAGUCUAGAAAAUAUGCAAUUCUUGUCUGCAGAUCUUCCAUUUUGCACUAUUAAGUACUUGUGUUUUGAAAUCCCCUAAAAGAAGUCCUAUAUAUCUGGAUUCCUCAUGCAUACUGAUUCAAAAUGUAUGAUCAGUUUCAACUAAAUGGCACAAAAUGCUGCAGAACUUUUGUGAAAGAAAAAGAAGUAUAAUGCAUUUUAUGAUGGGUUUUGUAAUUUUGUAUAUCAUAUAUCUUAGGUGUGAAUAAGCCUAACUGCUCUAGUACUCACAUUUGCUUUGAUGUGUGAUGAAUUCAGAAUUUACUGUUGUGAUUUAUGUUAGACAAGAUUUUAGAUUCUUUUACAUUGAUGUUUUUGUAGGUGGUGGUUAGGAAUGUGCCGCAUGUUUCUGGUCACUCAAUAUCAGAUACUGUAGACCACUUCUUUCAAACAAACCACCCGAACCAUUAUAUUGAUCACCAGGUAAUACAGUUCUUUUAGAACUUUCAUGGGAAAAAUCCCUAUUCCAUUAUCUGUCUUAUAAAACUAGUCCAACCAUAAUAACUCUUAUUAGGAUUUAUUGGAUUAACUCUACAUGUAUGAAUAUUGUGCCUGUUCUUUAUCUUAAAGGACUUCAUUUAGUUUUAUAAUCUAUUCACGUUAUUUAGGUACUUUUAUGCAGGCUGUCUAUAAUGCAAACAAAUAUUCCAAACUUGUGAGAAAAAGAGAGAGGGUCCGAAAUUGGCUAGACUAUAACAAGCUUAAGUUUGAAAGACAUCCAGACAGGAGACCGACUACAAAGGUAAUUCAUUUAAUCAACCCAAAUGGUUUAAACUGCAGUAGUUUGGUAUUUUUUUAAGUAGUUCCAUGGACCAUUUAAUUAUGCUAGUACAAAUCACCUAUAAACAUUUGGAACUCUGGAUGUGACAAUCUGGAAUCUUUUCAUUUUUCAGAUUGGAUUUCUUGGGAUCUGUGGUAAAAGAGUUGAUUCGAUUGAGUACUAUGAACAACAGAUAAAGGAGAUUGAUAAAAGGGUAAUUCACAAAUGUUACUUCAUCUGGAAUCUAUUGAAUGCUGCAGUUUUUUUGGCAUAGGAAUCUAUUGCUUCAUGAUGUGUUAUCCAUGAAUUGUUGCACCUUUAAAAAAUUUCCGUUAUCUUUUUUAGGGAGAUUAACUUAUCUCAGUAAAUCUGAUGUCCUAGUAUUUUUUCUUCCCUUUUGAAUGUUGAGUUGCUCUAAUAUACGGAUGCUUGAUCCUUGUAUUAUGUGCUAGAUUGCAUUAGAACGCCAGAGAAUUCUCAAGGACCCAAAAUCUAUUAUGCCAGUUGCUUUUGUUUCAUUUAAUUCACGUUGGGGUGCUGCAGUAUGUGCACAGACACAGCAAAGUAGGAAUCCCACACUUUGGCUCACAAAUUGGGCUCCAGAACCUCGUGAUGUGUACUGGCAGAAUUUGGCUAUUCCAUUUGUUUCUUUGAGCAUCCGG